CCUACGGGGGGCUGCAGUAGGGAAUAUUGGGCAAUGGAUGCAAGUCUGACCCAGCCAUGCCGCGUGCAGGAAGAAGGUCCUCUGGAUUGUAAACUGCUUUUGUCGGGGAAGAAUAGGUCUCUUGCGAGGGAUUGUGACGGUACCCGAUGAAUAAGCCACGGCUAACUACGUGCCAGCAGCCGCGGUAAUACGUAGGUGGCAAGCGUUGUCCGGAUUUAUUGGGUUUAAAGGGUGCGUAGGUGGUUUGCUAAGUCAGUGGUGAAAGCUGGUUGCUCAACAAUCAAGUUGCCAUUGAUACUGUCAGACUUGAGAGAAGUGGAGGCUCAUGGAAUGGAUGGUGUAGCGGUGAAAUGCAUAGAUAUCAUCCAGAACGUCAAUUGCGAAGGCAGUGGGCUGUACUUUUUCUGACACUGAGGCACGAAAGCGUGGGGAUCAAACAGGCUUAGAUACCCCUGUAGUC
Molecule: ribosomal RNA, 460 nt
Filed under: uncultured Runella sp.
Lineage: Bacteria; Pseudomonadati; Bacteroidota; Cytophagia; Cytophagales; Spirosomataceae
Description: bacterial SSU rRNA
Rfam family: Bacterial small subunit ribosomal RNA
Source: RNAcentral